GAUGAACGCUGGCGGCGUGCCUAAUACAUGCAAGUCGAGCGAACGGACGAGAAGCUUGCUUCUCUGAUGUUAGCGGCGGACGGGUGAGUAACACGUGGAUAACCUACCUAUAAGACUGGGAUAACUUCGGGAAACCGGAGCUAAUACCGGAUAAUAUUUUGAACCGCAUGGUUCAAAAGUGAAAGACGGUCUUGCUGUCACUUAUAGAUGGAUCCGCGCUGCAUUAGCUAGUUGGUAAGGUAACGGCUUACCAAGGCAACGAUGCAUAGCCGACCUGGGAGGGUGAUCGGCAACACUGGAACUGAGACACGGUCCAGACUCCUACGGGAGGCAGCAGUAGGGAAUCUUGCGAAAUGGGCGAAAGCGUGACGGAGCAACGCCGCGUGAGUGAUGAAGGUCUUCGGAUCGUAAAACUCUGUUAUUAGGGAAGAACAUAUGUGUAAGUAACUGUGCACAUCUUGACGGUACCUAAUCAGAAAGCCACGGCUAACUACGUG
Molecule: ribosomal RNA, 497 nt
Filed under: uncultured bacterium
Lineage: Bacteria
Description: partial 16S ribosomal RNA
Rfam family: Bacterial small subunit ribosomal RNA
Source: RNAcentral